RNAcentral lists this ribosomal RNA (293 nucleotides) under uncultured bacterium. RNAcentral's name for it is "partial 16S ribosomal RNA". It matches the Rfam family "Bacterial small subunit ribosomal RNA", at positions 505 to 796 of the family's 1533-position model. The record is from RNAcentral.
GUGCCAGCAGCCGCGGUAAUACGGAGGGUGCAAGCGUUAUCCGGAAUCACUGGGUUUAAAGGGUGCGUAGGCGGUGAGAUAAGUCAGUCGUGAAAUCUCUUGGCUUAACCAAUGAAAUUGCGAUUGAUACUGUUUUACUUGAAAGAGGUUGAGGUCAGCGGAAUGUGGCAUGUAGCGGUGAAAUGCAUAGAUAUGCCAUAGAACACCGAUUGCGAAGGCAGCUGGCUGGGCCUACUUUGACGCUGAGGCACGAAAGCGUGGGGAGCAAACAGGAUUAGAAACCCCUGUAGUCC